This 360-nucleotide long non-coding RNA is filed under the name Serinus canaria (Common canary). Its description in RNAcentral is "lncRNA (ENSSCAG00000000163.1)". The record is from RNAcentral. Lineage: Eukaryota; Metazoa; Chordata; Aves; Passeriformes; Fringillidae.
CCCUAACGUCCAUGACAGACUCAGAAAGUUACUUUCUGAUAAGUGGGACUAAGUUGGCACGGACACAGAGGAAUACAAACAUGGAUGCAAACGGCCGGUAUGAAAUUGUAGCAGAGAAAGCAAAAUAUUUGCCAUCUUAGAAGAAAAACAAGUUUUUAUUUACAAGAUGGCAACAUGGGAUAAACAUGAGUCAUCUCUGUGCUCUUCAGGAGGAAGUAUUUAAUCUCAACUUUUCAAGUGGACACAUGCUCAGCCACAAAUAGUUUUGUUUUUACAGGUUACUCCCCAGCUAAGACCAGGAAGCCCUAAUUCUAUGUCAAAUAUUUCAGAAUGGUAUCAAUAAAAACCCCUGUGAUUACA